UACGUAGGGUGCAAGCGUUAAUCGGAAUUACUGGGCGUAAAGCGUGCGCAGGCGGUUUUGUAAGUCUGUCGUGAAAUCCCCGGGCUCAACCUGGGGAAUUGCGAUGGAGACUGCAAGGCUAGAAUCUGGCAGAGGGGGGUAGAAUUCCACGUGUAGCAGUGAAAUGCGUAGAGAUGUGGAGGAACACCGAUGGCGAAGGCAGCCCCCUGGGUCAAGAUUGACGCUCAUGCACGAAAGCGUGGGGAGCAAACAGGG
Molecule: ribosomal RNA, 255 nt
Filed under: uncultured bacterium
Lineage: Bacteria
Description: partial 16S ribosomal RNA
Rfam family: Bacterial small subunit ribosomal RNA
Source: RNAcentral